CUGAAGUUGGCUGAGACAGACAGAAGGAGAUGCUGUGAAGGUUGAGGAGGCCUUCUUCCGAUUCAAUUGCAUUCAGAACCCAUUGGAGAUCAUCUCUAAAGCUGUGGUUUUCCGACAUGGUUAAGGAUGAAGAUGUGAGUAAAGGAGCAGACUUUUGUUGCCUUUCGGCGGAAAUGGAAUGCCUUGUCUUGACGAAAAGGGAUAUAUAUGUGCUUGUGUGUCUGCAAAGAGCAUUUCCCUUUUAUGGGGUGUUGCACUGCCAUUGAAGCACUGGGAAUCCAGUACAGCAAAAGGAGGAAUAAAAGGGAGCGGAAUCGGGGGGACAAAUUGCCCUACAUUUAGGGGGAGCGGUGUUUGGAUAAGAGUGCGAGUGCACCCCAUUUAACUGAGCAGGCAGCAGUUCUCUCUCCCCAGCAACGGCCUUCCAUUUUCGGCGCCCGUCCGGCAGCACUCUCCACUCUCUCUCUCUCUCUCUCCGUCCCCUCUAGCAGCGGCCGCGACGUCCCCUCCACCUCCUGCGUCCCCUCCAACAGCGGUCGCGGCGUCCCCUCCACCUCCGAUGUCCUCUCUCUCCGACAUGUCAUCCGCCUACAGCGACCCUCCUCUCUCUCCGACGUACAGCAACGGCCCUCUACUCCGUCCGGCGUCCCCUCCAGCAGUGACCGUAGUCCUCCGGCGUCCUCUCUCUUUCCGGCGUGAAAUAGUGGCAUACAGUUUUAGGCGGUGUAAUUUCAACAACAGUGUAUCAUAAAUUAUGAUUUGUUUAUAUCUUAAAAUCUUUUUAGUACUUAAACUAAACAAAUUCAUAAAACUGUAUAUCAUCAUUUGGACACUAUA
Diospyros lotus (date-plum) is the source of this 837-nucleotide long non-coding RNA. RefSeq lists it as uncharacterized. NCBI's taxonomy places the organism in Eukaryota, Viridiplantae, Streptophyta, Magnoliopsida, Ericales, Ebenaceae. The record is from RefSeq and is a predicted model, not a curated record. The transcript is spliced from 3 exons.